This 253-nucleotide ribosomal RNA is filed under the name uncultured bacterium. Its description in RNAcentral is "partial 16S ribosomal RNA". It matches the Rfam family "Bacterial small subunit ribosomal RNA", at positions 524 to 776 of the family's 1533-position model. The record is from RNAcentral.
UACGUAGGGACCAAGCGUUGUUCGGAUUUACUGGGCGUAAAGGGCGCGUAGGCGGCGUGACAAGUCACUUGUGAAAUCUCUGAGCUUAACUCAGAACGGCCAAGUGAAACUGUUGUGCUAGAGUGCAGAAGGGGCAAUCGGAAUUCUUGGUGUAGCGGUGAAAUGCUUAGAUAUGGCACAGAACACCGAUAGUGAAGACAGCUCACGAGGGCGUUACUGACGCUGAGGCACGAAAGCGUGGGGAUCGAACAGG